This 813-nucleotide ribosomal RNA is filed under the name Cryptosporidium felis. RNAcentral's name for it is "partial 18S ribosomal RNA". It matches the Rfam family "Eukaryotic small subunit ribosomal RNA", at positions 189 to 1020 of the family's 1831-position model. The record is from RNAcentral. Lineage: Eukaryota; Apicomplexa; Conoidasida; Eucoccidiorida; Cryptosporidiidae.
UUUUUGGAAGGGUUGUAUUUAUUAGAUAAAGAACCAAUAUUUUUUUUUGGUGACUCAUAAUAACUUUACGGAUCACAAUAAUUUAUUUUGUGACAUAUCAUUCAAGUUUCUGACCUAUCAGCUUUAGACGGUAGGGUAUUGGCCUACCGUGGCUAUGACGGGUAACGGGGAAUUAGGGUUCGAUUCCGGAGAGGGAGCCUGAGAAACGGCUACCACAUCUAAGGAAGGCAGCCGGCGCGCAAAUUACCCAAUCCUAAUACAGGGAGGUAGUGACAAGAAAUAACAAUACAGGACUUUCCGGUUUUGUAAUUGGAAUGAGUUAAGUAUAAACCCCUUUACAAGUAUCAAUUGGAGGGCAAGUCUGGUGCCAGCAGCCGCGGUAAUUCCAGCUCCAAUAGCGUAUAUUAAAGUUGUUGCAGUUAAAAAGCUCGUAGUUGGAUUUCUGUUAAUACCUUAUAUAUAAUAUUUUUUUUUAAAUAUUAAUAUGUAAGAUUAACAUAAUUCAUAUUUUUAAGACUGAAUUUUUAGUUUUGAUAAUAUGAAAUUUUACUUUGAGAAAAUUAGAGUGCUUAAAGCAGGCUUUUGCCUUGAAUACUCCAGCAUGGAAUAAUAAUAAAAGAUUUUUAUCUUUUUUUUAUUGGUUCUAAGAUAAAAAUAAUGAUUAAUAGGGACAGUUGGGGGCAUUUGUAUUUAACAGUCAGAGGUGAUAUUCUUAGAUUUGUUAAAGACAAACUAAUGCGAAAGCAUUUGCCAAGGAUGUUUUCAUUCAUCAAGAACGAAAGUUAGGGGAUCGAAGACGAUCAGAUACCGUCG